GCCUCCGUAGCUCAGUUGGAUAGAGCGGGAGCCUUCUAAUCUCUAGGUCGUAGGUUCGAUUCCUACCGGGGGCG
This 74-nucleotide transfer RNA is filed under the name Microthrixaceae bacterium. Its description in RNAcentral is "tRNA-Arg". It matches the Rfam family "tRNA". Rfam says of the family: Transfer RNA (tRNA) molecules are approximately 80 nucleotides in length. Their secondary structure includes four short double-helical elements and three loops (D, anti-codon, and T loops). Lineage: Bacteria; Bacillati; Actinomycetota; Acidimicrobiia; Acidimicrobiales; Microthrixaceae. The record is from RNAcentral.